This 1303-nucleotide long non-coding RNA is filed under the name Calidris pugnax (ruff). Its description in RNAcentral is "lncRNA (ENSCPUG00000005903.1)". Lineage: Eukaryota; Metazoa; Chordata; Aves; Charadriiformes; Scolopacidae. The record is from RNAcentral.
CUUGAGCUGAACUUGUAAUGUUGUGACACAGUAACAGUAAGAGAUAGUUAAUAUAUAAUUGUGACAUACUAACUAUGUAUUUAUUGUUCUUUUGAUGAUCAGCUGUGAAUAGUUGUGGUCUGGAGAUCUGGGCUGUCAUCAGAAGCCACCAAGUCCCAUCAAGUUCUGCAACCAACUUACUUGAGCUAAUUGAAGAAACUGAGAGGAGAAGAGUUAACUCACGUCAAUUCUGGAUUUGCUCUGGGUGAUUUACCAGUCCCUAAGGGAGCCAGAGCCAGGAUCUGGAGCUGACACCUUUAUAUGGAGCAGGAGAUGCUUCGAGCAGCCAGCGUGAAAGGAGGCAAAAAGCCAAGUGGCAGGAUAUCUGCUGAGAAAGCUGAGAAGAUGAGUGUCUCGCAGGAGAAAAUGGAAGACAGCAGAUCUCACAUGACAUCCAAAGAAUACAAGCUACAAAAGGAUCAGCAUCUCGUAGAGAAUUCUAAGAUGUUACAAGACAUUACAAGGCCAGUAUGUGCUUAUGGUCCAUGAAGUGACCGUUCCCCCCAUUCUUGGGCCAGACUCUCACACCUGCCUUCAAACUCUUGAAUUUUUCCAGAGAAAACCAAAAGCAAGAACAAAGAUUCUUUCAAUGUCACCAGCAAGUAAAAAGAAUCAAACCCCAGAGCCAGGGCUCUUACCCAGGGCACACUGAAGUCAAUGGAAUCUUUCCCAUUGAAUGCAGUGGAAGUUGGAUUCUGUCUUUGCAUCCCAGUCACCCUUGUUAGGUUUUUCAUGCAGGAAUAGGGCUUCAGUUUUGAAAACUACAGUCUUCUAAUAGCCACGAAAAUAACUGACUUAAAGAUCCAUGUCAUGGUUGUCUUCUUACUAUUAACAUUUUAGGAGAAAAAAGAUAUCUUCUCUGUAGGCAUUUGAGAUACAGAUUAAAAUUUUCUAUUAAUGUUUGGGGGUUUGUUUAUCUUUAAGAAUUCUGAUCAAAUAAUAUAGUAAAUUUUAUGACAAUUGUCAUAGAAAAAUAACUGACGAUAUAAAAAUAACAGAAGAUGUUCAACACUGGAGCCGAUUAUAUCGGCAUAGUUCAGGUGACUUCAGUAGGCAUGAGGCUAUAGCCCAAAAGUUUCAGAAUACAAACCUCUCCUAUUUAUUAGGCUUCCUAGUAUGGAUAACCUUAUUAAUUCACACUUGAAAAUUAUAUAUAAGGUUGGAAUACUUGAUUUGACAAAUAGAAACCCCCAUCUUUUCUCUCCUGAUCUUUUUCUGCUCCUAUGAAGAAAAUAAAAAUAGGAGAAAAAAAAAAAAAGUAACA